RNAcentral lists this ribosomal RNA (660 nucleotides) under uncultured organism. RNAcentral describes it as "SSU rRNA". It matches the Rfam family "Eukaryotic small subunit ribosomal RNA", at positions 577 to 1251 of the family's 1831-position model. The record is from RNAcentral.
CGGUAAUUCCAGCUCCAAUAGCGUAUAUUAAAGUUGUUGCAGUUAAAAAGCUCGUAGUUGGACCUUGGGCCUGGACAGGCGGUCCGCCUCACGGCGUGUACUGUCUUGCUGGGCCUUUCCUCUUGGUGAUCUGUGGUUUCGGCCGCAGGGAACCAGGACCUUUACUUUGAAAAAAUUAGAGUGUUCAAAGCAGGCUUUACGCCAGAAUAUAUUAGCAUGGAAUAAUAAAAUAGGACGUGCGGUUCUAUUUUGUUGGUUUUUGGGAUCGCCGUAAUGAUUAAUAGGGACAGUCGGGGGCAUUAGUACUCACAUGCUAGAGGUGAAAUUCUUGGAUUUUGUGAAGACUAACUUCUGCGAAAGCAUUUGCCAAGGAUGUUUUCAUUAAUCAAGAACGAAGGUUAGGGUAUCGAAAACGAUUAGAUACCGUUGUAGUCUUAACAGUAAACUAUGCCGACUAGGGAUCGGUCGAUGUUAUUUUCUUGACUCGAUCGGCACCUUACGAGAAAUCAAAGUUUUUGGGUUCUGGGGGGAGUAUGGUCGCAAGGCUGACACUUAAAGAAAUUGACGGAAGGGCACCACCAGGAGUGGAGCCUGCGGCUUAAUUUGAUUCAACACGGGGAAACUCACCAGGUCCAGACAUAGGAGGGAUUGACAGAUUGA